AUUGAACGCUGGCGGCAGGCCUAACACAUGCAAGUCGAGCGGAUGAAGGGAGCUUGCUCCUGGCUUCAGCGGCGGACGGGUGAGUAAUGCCUAGGAAUCUGCCUGGUCGUGGGGGAUAACGUCCGGAAACGGGCGCUAAUACCGCAUACGUCCUGAGGGAGAAAGUGGGGGAUCUUCGGACCUCACGCUAUCAGAUGAGCCUAGGUCGGAUUAGCUAGUUGGUGGGGUAAAGGCGUACCAAGGCGACGAUCCGUAACUGCUCUGAGAGGAUGAUCAGUCACACUGGAACUGAGACACGGUCCAGACUCCUACGGGAGGCAGCAGUGGGGAAUAUUGGACAAUGGGCGAAAGCCUGAUCCAGCCAUGCCGCGUGUGUGAAGAAGGUCUUCGGAUUGUAAAGCACUUUAAGUUGGGAGGAAGGGCAGUAAGUUAAUACCUUGCUGUUUUGACGUUACCAACAGAAUAAGCACCGGCUAACUUCGUG
This 484-nucleotide ribosomal RNA is filed under the name uncultured bacterium. RNAcentral's name for it is "partial 16S ribosomal RNA". It matches the Rfam family "Bacterial small subunit ribosomal RNA", at positions 30 to 507 of the family's 1533-position model. The record is from RNAcentral.